AGCCCCGACUCUCAUCUCAGCCCCGACACCACCACUACCGUUGGCCACCGCCACCGCCGCAGAAGCUAUGUCUCUUUGUCACCACCACCGAACCCACUGCCACAACCAGCGAUUGUCAAUCUCGCGCUCAAAUAUGUUAGAUCUGAACUCUGAUCUGAAUUCAAGUUGAAGGAGGUGAUGAAAGUUGUUGUGUGGUUUGUAUGAGAAUUGGAGAAACAAUGGAUUUGAUUUUUUAUGUGGUUAAAUUUAACUUGUGUAUGUUUUAUGAAAUCAUCCUGAGUUUGUUAUUCUGUUUUACGUAUUACUGGUUUACCUCUACAAACUUAUAUUUUCAUGGACCCUAUUUAUUACCAGAAGCUGAAACACAUGGUGAGCCUUAAAUACUCUAUAGCUUAUGUUUUAAUUUAUGCAAUGCGUUUGUAGGCAUGAUGUAUGGGUCUCGUGUCAUUCUCCAUGUUUGUUUGAUAACCCUGUUGAAUGCUUUUGGUGUUUAAUAUGUUGUGUAUGAAUUCACUGAUCUUCAUUUUUAGAGCACUACUUCACUUCUUUAUGGCAGCAGCAGCUACUUGGGUCAAAUAGCUAUUUAUUGUAACAAUUUCUAAUAGGCUGCUCUUGAUUUUACAGGAAGUUUUACACUUUGAUUCUUUAACUCACAAUUCAUUUUAUACCUUUAACUCACAAAGUUUCACGCUUUGAUUCUUUCACACUUUGAUUCUUUAACUCACAUUUUAUUAUUAGUAUUAAUUAUUUAUUUUUUUUCCUUUUGUUAUUUAACAGGAAUUCAAGUUGAAAAUUGGAUGAUGAAAGUUGUUGUGUGGUUUGUAUGAGAAUUGGAGAAACAAUGGAUUUGAUUUUUCAUGUUGUAAUGGAAUUUUUUUUUUUUUUUUAAAUUUUGGGUAACCUAUCCCUUGCGGGUUGUGCUUGGGACUAAUUAUUCUUUUUGCAACUUGUUGAAUUU
Non-coding RNA from Camellia sinensis, 958 nucleotides. NCBI's taxonomy places the organism in Eukaryota, Viridiplantae, Streptophyta, Magnoliopsida, Ericales, Theaceae. The record is from RefSeq and is a predicted model, not a curated record.